GUGAGUUCUGAACUUGAAAACAAAGAUAGCAUUUGGGUCUUUCACAUCAUAGAUUCUGGCCAAUUUCUCCUUCAGCUCAGCCUUUGAAACAUUGGGUCUACCUGGGUGAAGAACAUCAAUGAUGAAUUGCUUCCUGGAGAGGAGCCUGUUGGUCAUGAACUUCCUGGUUCGGAUGGUGACUGCCUUGUCCGCCAUGGCUGAAGCCGCUCUGAAGAGGAUGGAAGCCUUGGAGCUCGAAGAAGGCGACGGCGA
This 252-nucleotide unclassified non-coding RNA is filed under the name Hevea brasiliensis (rubber tree). The record is from RNAcentral. Lineage: Eukaryota; Viridiplantae; Streptophyta; Magnoliopsida; Malpighiales; Euphorbiaceae.